CAACUACUCCCUCCAUCCGAAAAAGUUUGUCCCUCAAAUGGAUGUAUCUAGCACCAACUUGGUGCUAGAUACAUCCAUUUCAGGGAUAAGCUUGGGACAAGCUUUUUCGGAUGGAGGGAGUACUCA
This is a non-coding RNA of Triticum aestivum (bread wheat), 126 nucleotides long. Lineage: Eukaryota; Viridiplantae; Streptophyta; Magnoliopsida; Poales; Poaceae. The record is from Rfam.